This 253-nucleotide ribosomal RNA is filed under the name uncultured bacterium. Its description in RNAcentral is "partial 16S ribosomal RNA". It matches the Rfam family "Bacterial small subunit ribosomal RNA", at positions 524 to 776 of the family's 1533-position model. The record is from RNAcentral.
UACGUAGGGUGCAAGCGUUAAUCGGAAUUACUGGGCGUAAAGCGUGCGCAGGCGGCUGUGCAAGACAGAUGUGAAAUCCCGAGGCUCAACCUCGGAAUUGCCUUCAAAACUGCUGUGCUCGAGUUCGGAAGAGGUGAGUGGAAUUCCCAGUGUAGAGGUGAAAUUCGUAGAGAUUGGGAAGAACACCAGUGGCGAAGGCGGCUCACUGGUCCGCAACUGACGCUGAGGUGCGAAAGCGUGGGGAGCAAACAGG